UACGUAGGGGGCAAGCGUUAUCCGGAAUUACUGGGCGUAAAGGGUGCGUAGGUGGCCUGACAAGUCAGGGGUCAAAGGCAACGGCUCAACCGUUGUAAGCCCUUGAAACUGUCGGGCUUGAGUUCAGGAGAGGAAAGCGGAAUUCCAAGUGUAGCGGUGAAAUGCGUAGAUAUUUGGAGGAACACCAGUGGCGAAAGGCGGCUUUCUGGACUGAUACUGACACUGAGGCACGAAAGCGUGGGGAGCAAACAGG
RNAcentral lists this ribosomal RNA (253 nucleotides) under uncultured bacterium. RNAcentral's name for it is "partial 16S ribosomal RNA". It matches the Rfam family "Bacterial small subunit ribosomal RNA", at positions 524 to 776 of the family's 1533-position model. The record is from RNAcentral.